GGGGAUGUUUUGGUUUUGACAGCAUCGACUGCGGGAGGCAAGCACGCCGGGCGUGGGAGGUUUGCCCGUUAAUCUCAGCCUUCAAGCCAUUAACUGGCAACUACAACUAUUCUUACGCUUGCUAAUCUCCAAGAGAUUCAGCAUUAACCGGAUUCGCCAAGGCUGCGGAACCGGCGUAUAUCCCUCCGGGCUUUAGGCCGGUUAUGACCGGAUCAAGGGGUAUCAUUCAAACCGGACGCUCGGAGACGCCUCCCCCACUCUCCGCUAAGAUUCAGGGGAUAAGAUGGCUGCAAGGGCGUCUUCCCUCAUCUGCCGUCCGACAAUCAAAGGAAGAAUAAGCGUGUAGAAAACCUUUUGUUGCGUUGUUUGGACGGCGGUUCGAGUCCGCCCAUCUCCACAA
RNAcentral lists this transfer-messenger RNA (400 nucleotides) under Bacteroidales. RNAcentral's name for it is "Cryptobacteroides sp017615135 Standard tmRNA". It matches the Rfam family "transfer-messenger RNA". Rfam says of the family: Bacterial tmRNA, also known as 10Sa RNA or SsrA, is named for its dual tRNA and mRNA-like properties. Its role is to liberate the mRNA from a stalled ribosome. RNAcentral also lists the same sequence under 1 other name. Lineage: Bacteria; Pseudomonadati; Bacteroidota; Bacteroidia. The record is from RNAcentral.